Molecule: ribosomal RNA, 492 nt
Filed under: uncultured bacterium
Lineage: Bacteria
Description: partial 16S ribosomal RNA
Rfam family: Bacterial small subunit ribosomal RNA
Source: RNAcentral
AGUGAACGCUGGCGGUAGGCCUAACACAUGCAAGUCGAACGGCAGCACAGUAAGAGCUUGCUCUUACGGGUGGCGAGUGGCGGACGGGUGAGGAAUACAUCGGAAUCUACUUUUUCGUGGGGGAUAACGUAGGGAAACUUACGCUAAUACCGCAUACGACCUACGGGUGAAAGCAGGGGAUCUUCGGACCUUGCGCGAUUGAAUGAGCCGAUGUCGGAUUAGCUAGUUGGCGGGGUAAAGGCCCACCAAGGCGACGAUCCGUAGCUGGUCUGAGAGGAUGAUCAGCGACACUGGAACUGAGACACGGUCCAGACUCCUACGGGAGGCAGCAGUGGGGAAUAUUGGACAAUGGGCGCAAGCCUGAUCCAGCCAUACCGCGUGGGUGAAGAAGGCCUUCGGGUUGUAGAGCCCUUUUGUUGGGAAAGAAAAGCGGCAGGUUAAUACCCCGCUGUUCUGACGGUACCCAAAUAAUAAGCACCGGCUAACUUCGUG